Macaca mulatta (Rhesus monkey) is the source of this 2014-nucleotide long non-coding RNA. Lineage: Eukaryota; Metazoa; Chordata; Mammalia; Primates; Cercopithecidae. The record is from Ensembl.
UCGCCUGUGGAGCUGGAAAAGUGCCGACCAGCACGUUCUCUCGCACGACUGAAAACGCUCUCCCGGUGUCUCACAUCUCUCAGCCCAUUCUUCUCCGAAGCCAGAGGACCUGGCUCCUUUCCACUGGGCGGGUUUCCUGUUCGCAGCCCUGACAAAAGUGCCCAGAGUUCUCCAGCCUCUCUCCUUCCACUGGGUUGGAGUUGACUUGGAACCUGAGGGCCUAAGUGCCCGGCACUGCGAGGGUAUGGCAGGGACUCCAUUCUUGAUCUUGGCCUUGAGGUUCUCACAGUCUGAGCUUGUGAGUAUCAAGAACAGCUCUGGGCUGGGCACAGUGGCUCACACCUGUAAUUCCAGCACUUUGGGAGGCUGAGGUGGGAGAAUCACCUGAGGUCAGGAGUUUGAGACUAGCCUGGCCGAUAUGGCGAAACCCCAUCUCUAUUAAAAAAUACAAAAUAUAGCCAGGUGUGGUAGCAGGCACCUGUAGUCUCAGCUACUCGGGAGGCUGAGGCAGAAGAAUCACUUGAACCCGGGAGGCGGAGAUUGCAGUGAGCCGAGAUUGCGCCACUGCAAUUCGGUCUAGGCAACAAAGCGAGACUCCAUCUCAGGAAAAAAAGAAAAAAAAAAAAAAAAAAAAAGAAAGGAAGCCAGGCAUGGUGGCUCACAUCUGUAAUCCCAACAUUUUGGGAGGCUGAGGCAGGAGGAUCAAUUGAGGCUAGGAGUUUGAGACCAUCCUGGGCAACAUAGUGAGACCCCAUCUCUACAAAAGAUUUAAAAAAAUUAGCUGGGUGUGGUGGCACAUGCCUCUAGUCACAGCUACUCAGGAGGCUGAGAUGGGAGAAUCGCUUGAGUCUGGGAGGUCAAGGCUGCAGUGAGCUGAGAUCACGCCACUGCACUCCAGCCUGGAUUACAGAGUAAGACCCUGUCUCUAAUAAAUAAAUAAAUAAAUAAAUAAAUAAAUAAAAGAGAGGAAGGGGGUUAUGGCAUACUGUAGGGUGUAGGGGGAGGUUGCAGGAUUAGGUGGGUCGCCAGGGUUGGCCUCUUUAAGAAGGUGAGAUUUCAGCUUCUCGAAGCUGAGGGAUUUAACCAUGUAAGUAUCUGGGAGUGGAGCAUUUCAGUUGGAGGGAAUAGCUAGAGCCUAAAAGAAACAAAAUCCAACACAAACAUCAGGAAGCGGUCACCCAAGAGAUAAGGAGUCUGAGAACGGGCCAAGGGAAGGGAAGAAGGAGGGUUUCAUGCCUAUGCUAAUUGCAUUGUGGCUGCUCUGAGGGUGAGGUCAUUUACCCAACCCCGGGACCACCCUCUGCCCAAACUCUUAGGCUAAUGGAAAUCAGACCAAUGUGGUGGUGGAAAGGCUCUUUCAUAACUAGUACACGGCCUUCAGUAAGCCACAUGCUCCUUGGGCCUCUGGCCUCAUCUAUAAAAGGAAACAACUGAAAACUGGGUGCUUGCAGGCCCCUGAGUGCGCCUUGUAAUAAUAGCACUGUUAUAAAUAAGAUGGAAACUGCAUCAUCUUGCCAGGGUGAAUAAGUUAAUUAUUCUUAUGAUUGAGACUUUUAAAAAUCAAAAGCAAAACCAUCUGAUUUGUGUGGUUUCCGAGGAAAAGAAAGGCAGGAAAGAAAGAUGAAGUGAGGCUGGGCGGGGUGCUGACACCUGUAAUCCCAGCACUUUGGGAGGCGGAGGGCGGCGGAUCACUUGAACUCAGGUGUUCAAGAUCAGCCUGGGCAGCAUAGUGGGACCCUGUCUCUAAAAUAAAUAAAUAAAUGAAUAAGCUGGGUGUGAUGAUGCGCGCCUGUAGUCCCAGUUACUUGGGAGGCUGAGGUGGAGGAUCACUUGGGCCUGGGAGAUUGAGGCUGCAGUGAGCUGUGAUCAUUCCACUGCAUUCCAGCCUAGGCAAUAGAGUGAGACCCUGUCUCAAAAAAAAAAAAAAAAAGAGGCACAAGUUUUCCUUUUGCCACCAUUUAACCAUCUUCACUUUGUGGGAACUAGAACUGUGCUGGGGUGGUCGGGGGGUGGG